AAAAUCCAACAUUUUGUUGGAUAAUCCCACUAACUCUUAGUGGGAUAUGUGGCUAUAUGAGAUAUAGACACCUAGCCCACUAAGUUCCACUAAUUGUUAGUGGAAUAUUAGGUGUUGAGAUUUGGCAAUUGAAUUGCAUGCAUUUUUGCAUGCAAUUAGGCUAUAAAUAGAGGUGUUUUCAAAUGUUGAAGGACUUUUGCCUCUUUUAUCAUUUUCAUAAUCUCAACAAAAGAAAAAAGAAAGCUUCCAAUCUCAUUUUAUCUCCAUUAUUUUCUACACCAAAAUUGGGUCCCACAACCCGGUUCUUUGUCCAGAGGAUAGCAGUUGAGUACUAGUGGUGGUCUCGGGUAGAAUUGGUAAGAAGACAUCAAACCUUUUGAAAGCUUCAAAGGUAAUACUUCUUAAAACCCUAAUUUGAUUAGUUUAUGGUUACAUGUUAAUUGUGGCAAUUAGGGUAGAAAUUCGAUUCUUUUUCCGCUGUGCAUGACUUAGUUCUAUCACUUUCGACCUCUACGGUUGAUAACUUUGACAUAAUUCCUCCAAUAAGCUUCCUUGAUAAUCAUCCAAAGGAAGUAUUAGAAGUCACUACAUGUCAUGCUAUCAGCAUAGAAGAAGUUGGAUCACUGACGACGAAGAAGCCCGAUCGCUCCUACUAGGGAGGUAGAUCUUACGCAUAAUCUCGAUUGUCCUCUAGAAGAAGUUGGAUCGCUAACGGCGAAGAAGCCCGAUCAAUCCUACUAGGGAGGUGGAUUUGACGGCAAAGUUCGAUCAUCCCCAAGAAGAAGUUGGAUCGCUGAUGGCAAAGAAGCUCGAUCGCUCCUACUAGGGAGGUGAAUCUGAAGGCAAAAGUCUGAUCGUCCCUAGAAGAAGUUGGAUCAUUGACAACGAGAAAGCUCGAUCGUUCCUAGAAGAAGUUGGAUCACUAACGGCGAAGAAGAUUGAUUGCUCCUACCAGGCAGGUGGAUCUGACAGCAAAAGCCCAAUCGUCCCCUAAAAAAAGUUGGAUCGCUAAUGGCAAAAAAGUCUGAUCGCUCCUACUAAAGAGGUGGAUCUGAUGGAAAAAGCCUGAUCGUCCCCUAAAAGAAGUAGGAUUGUUGACGACAAAGAAGCCCGAUUGCUUCUAUUAGGGAGGUGGAUCUGACGGCAAAAGUUUGAUCGUCCACUAGAAGAAGUUGGAUCGUUGAUGGCGAAGAAACCCGAUCGCUCCUACUACAGAGGUGGAUGUGACGACAAAAGUCUUAUCGUCCCCUAAUAGAAGUUGGAUCACUGAGGGCAAAAUUAUCCAUGCAAACGAUUGUAAAAAAAAAAAAAGAAGAAGAAGAAAUAUGAAAAUGUUUUUACCUUUAGCUCCCGUAAAAAAACAAAAACAAAAAUACAAAAAAAAAAACAAAAACAAAAAUACAAAAAACAAAAACAAAAACAAAAAUACAAAAAAAUACAAAAACACAAAAAAUAAAAAAAUAAAAAAACAAAAAAAGAGGAAGAGGGAAAGGGAGAAGAAAAGUUUUUCAUACCUUUCUGUUGUUGGAUAAGGAAUAAAUAAUCAUGAUGUGAGUCUAUUUAUAAAACCAACAAAUCCAAUUCCUAAAAAGAUUAGGAAUGAUAAUUUAAUCAUUUUGUUUAAAACAAACCCAAUUUCUAGAACGAAUAGAAAUGAUUUUUUUUAUAUAUAUAAAUAAAGAAAAGAUAAUCCAAUUAUCUUAUCUUAUU
Molecule: long non-coding RNA, 1710 nt
Filed under: Cucumis sativus (cucumber)
Lineage: Eukaryota; Viridiplantae; Streptophyta; Magnoliopsida; Cucurbitales; Cucurbitaceae
Description: long non-coding RNA (CSAT_LNC000196)
Source: RNAcentral